This 20-nucleotide unclassified non-coding RNA is filed under the name Mus musculus (house mouse). RNAcentral's name for it is "oocyte_clustered_small_RNA10012". Lineage: Eukaryota; Metazoa; Chordata; Mammalia; Rodentia; Muridae. The record is from RNAcentral.
UGUCGAAUGUUUCAUGUCCG